RNAcentral lists this transfer RNA (76 nucleotides) under Bacteroidales bacterium. Its description in RNAcentral is "tRNA-Val". It matches the Rfam family "tRNA". Rfam says of the family: Transfer RNA (tRNA) molecules are approximately 80 nucleotides in length. Their secondary structure includes four short double-helical elements and three loops (D, anti-codon, and T loops). Lineage: Bacteria; Pseudomonadati; Bacteroidota; Bacteroidia; Bacteroidales. RNAcentral also lists the same sequence under 1 other name. The record is from RNAcentral.
GGGAGCAUAGCUCAGUUGGUUUAGAGCAUCUGCCUUACAAGCAGAGGGUCGGGGGUUCGACUCCCUCUGCUCCCAC